UACGUAGGGCGCAAGCGUUAUCCGGAAUUAUUGGGCGUAAAGAGCUCGUAGGCGGUUCGUCGCGUCGGCUGUGAAAACCCGAGGCUCAACCUCGGGCCUGCAGUCGAUACGGGCGGACUGGAGUUCGGCAGGGGAGACUGGAAUUCCUGGUGUAGCGGUGAAAUGCGCAGAUAUCAGGAGGAACACCGGUGGCGAAGGCGGGUCUCUGGGCCGAUACUGACGCUGAGGAGCGAAAGCGUGGGGAGCGAACAGG
RNAcentral lists this ribosomal RNA (253 nucleotides) under uncultured bacterium. Its description in RNAcentral is "partial 16S ribosomal RNA". It matches the Rfam family "Bacterial small subunit ribosomal RNA", at positions 524 to 776 of the family's 1533-position model. The record is from RNAcentral.